UCCAACACAGCUGUAUGCACCAUUAUUUAGUCCCUAUUUCUUAUUUGAAUUUACAGUUUGACGUGUUUCGCAGUUAUUUUAUUUGGCUUUCGCUCUAUCGUUAUGAAGUUUAAAAAGUAAAUUCGCAAGUCUAAAAUGGUUUACUAUAUACGUACGUCGCGCACUUAUUCGUUUUUUGGUGAGCCAUCACGGAAAUCCCAUUCGUCGGAUAGCAUUUAUUCGAAUGACGUGUUUACGGGCUUAGGGGUGAAUUUUCC
This is a non-coding RNA of Cinara cedri, 257 nucleotides long. The record is from the annotation of a GenBank genome assembly. Lineage: Eukaryota; Metazoa; Arthropoda; Insecta; Hemiptera; Aphididae.